Molecule: small RNA, 132 nt
Filed under: Escherichia coli
Lineage: Bacteria; Pseudomonadati; Pseudomonadota; Gammaproteobacteria; Enterobacterales; Enterobacteriaceae
Also listed under: 1 other name
Description: RtT sRNA
Rfam family: RtT RNA
About the family: This family represents a bacterial cis-regulatory element known as RtT RNA. The exact function of RtT is unknown although it is thought that it may be involved in changing the cellular response in relation to amino acid starvation.
Source: RNAcentral
AUUCUGCCCAAGCGAGGAAGGAUGAGAAGCUUCGACCAAGGUUCGACUUGAGCGCCAGCGAGAGAGCGUUGCCGCAGGCAACGACCCGAAGGGCGAAGCGCGCAGCGCUGAGUAAUCCUUCCCCCACCACCA